GGUUUCUUACUCCUAUGCCGCAGUCACCCAGCUGUCCCUUUGUUAACCUUUUGUGAUUGUUUUUGUGGCUUAUCUUCUCCUAGGUAACAUGGUGUACUCUUUGAUGCACAUUUGUAUUUAUUUUGGGUGAUUGGUCUGAUCAAAUUACUAAUAGUGUGACUCACAGUCAGGAUAUUUCUAAAAUCAAGUUCAUAGCACACUUUAGAAUUCAUGCUUGCUUUGUUUUAAAGGAUGACAUGAGUUCAGGGGACGAAGAAAAUGGCUUUUGUGGGUGGUAGUUGGUUGACAUAGCCAAUUGACUACAUAGUAUGGUUUUAGAGUGCCCUGGUUUUGAUAUUCUUGUAGAUUUAGGAUUUCUGCUGAUAAUCUUCUUUUGCUUAGGACGUUUUAUUUCCAUGGAGACGUAAUAACUGAUUAACUCUCUCUGUGUGUGUAUAUAUAUAGACACACACACACAUACACUGAAAGUUUUUGUACAUACACACACAGAGAUACACUGCACCUCCAGUUUCCUGUUUUACCUUAUUUGCUAAUAUACAAUGAAAUUAAUGUUUGAAGAAAAUUUAAUGAACUAUCAUUGUCAAGUAUCAACCUAGUAUUUUGACAUCUUUCACUUCAUGGACUGCUUUCUCUCUUGCAGCAGAUUGUCUUUGGUAGGGAUAUACGUUUGUUAAUUGCAUGCUCGGAAUUUGUUUAAGAGAGUGCGAUUAGUGCUGAUCUUGUGAAAAUAUCUUGCAUCAAGAAACAAUGCUUGUAUACUCAAAAGCAAAAACAUGUGAAAUUUCUUCGAGCUAAAGUUUGAUGUCCAUUCUCUAGUACGAAGUGCUUCAGCGAGUAAAAUGUUGAUCAUGCCAUUUAGUUUUCUUUCCUAAUUUUUAACAGAAGAGUUAGCUGAAAUCCUUAUAGAGUUGAGCUUCAUCUUUCUCCGUAUCUCAGAUAUUUGUUUGAUACUACAAUAUCUGUUGCAAUAAUAAAGCUGUUUGGUUUCCUUACAACUGAUUCUAGUGGAUGGAUCUUUUGACCAAUGCAAUAACUGAAUGAUCCCCACCUGCAAAUAGGGUAGUGAAAAUGGUGACAUGAUUUAGUCUAUAUGCCAACACUGGUCAGUGUAUAUUGUGAUUUCGUUUGCAGUAGCGAGCCAAAGUUUGGUUCUGGUACGCCUGGUUUGAAGUUAAACUUCAAUUGGGAUUGUUCGUGGUCACUGGAUGUUACUUGACCAUUGUUGUAACAGAUCUAGUUUUUCCGGUGAACCUCUCAACUCUAAUGUUCUAAUAGAGGGACCAUCUUGCUGUAUAAUAUCUGAAGAUAUGGAAUUACUUAUGGGUUUGUGUUUGACAUCUCCUGCUGCUUUAUAGUAAUGUCAUAAAUAGAUGUUGUACUUGUAAAUGAAUAGACAAAUAUAGUGGUUGUGAUUGAGUAUAGAUCUGUUGAAAACACGAAGGGGUUUAUGUUGCUACUUCCUAGUGAAUAAUGUAACCUUAGAGGUAUGCAUAUUAAGGUUCCUUAAUGUGUAGUGGUAUAAUUAGCAUGCAAUGUGUCCAAGACGUGAUUUUGUAAUAGAGUAUGAUGGACACAUUUUUAUCUCGUAUGAUGUGUGCAGUAUCUGUAUGUUUUUUUCCCUUACUUUCUUUGAUAAGAGAUACUUGAGCCGAGAGUCUUUCGGAAACAACUCUUCUACCUCCAUGAGGUAGGGGUAAGGUCUGCGUACACUCUACCUCCAUGAGGUAGGGUUAAGCCGUUAAGAUCUGUGUACACUCUACCUCCCCGGACCCUACCUAUGGGAUUUCACUGAGUGUUUUUUGUUGUUUAUGAUGUGCGCAAUAUAACAAUCCUAUUCUCUUCUUUAACAUCUUCUCUCCCAACUCAACAUCUUACUGCGUGGUUCUUUCCUAAGGCAUUUAGGGUAUAAGGAAUAGCAAAACUGUGUUGUGGUUAGCCUUUCAAAUUGGUCAGAUAGCAGUAAUUCGUACUUGAUCUUGUGUGAAAACGUCUCUUUGAUGGAGUGUUACUUGUCUCAAGAAGAUAUGGACAUGGAUAUUGCUCAGGUAGUUUUUGCUUGAGAAAAAUGUGUGUGCUAGUAGAAGGAUAAAAAAUAAUAGAGUACAGCUUACAAGUGCAUCCCAAGCUAAAAGUUAACUCUUCCUAUUCAAAUUAUCCGUUUAACUGAACUUCCAGUAUGUCUCAAUUUCUCUUUUGCCUAUACCUCCAUCUUCCCAUACUGCCUUUAACAAUUUCAAGGAUUUCCUUGACUAGAGUUAUUACUGAUAUCUUCUGAUUGGAAUUUUUUGCAAUUUCUUUUGAUUUGUGAUCUUCUGCAAUUUUUCUCUAUCCAAAUACUGCAACAGCUGGCAUCGAGUAGACUAGUAGAGAAGCCAACUGUUUUCUCUAAGAUCAAACAUUAUCAAACGUAAAAUUGAAGAUGGUAAAGAGUUGAAUAAUGAACUUGUAUGCUGGUCUGAGGAUACUUUAUCCUAAGAAAAUGCUACUAUGGUGCCACUAGACUAGUAGGUCUUAUCUGUGCUUAUUUCUGGGUUGGGAUAACACGUAAAAAUAUCUUUUGGGCUGGGUAUCAUGGUAAAUGUUGUUUUGUAACUUAUGGGUUACUUUGCCUGCUGCCUGCUUAUUUUGAUAAAGGUAACAUUUGUAUAUCAAUCAUCAGUGGUGCCUGCUUAUGAUAAACCACAGUGGUGCAUUUGUUAGUUUUGUUAUUAAAGGUGGACAACUAAAAUAAAUUGGUAGUUCUCUAUGUUUGAAUAGUAGUUCAUCUGUGGUAGAUUAUUGAGGUGAAAUUGUAACCUUGUUUCAUAAUGUCAGUUUGUUUUCUUUUCUAUUUGCUCCCCCCUUGAAUAUGUGUUCAUAAUUAAUCAUUUCAUCUUUGACUUGUAUUAUUUAUUUGUCUUGCUUUAUACUUGAUCUGAUAACUCUUACUAUUGUUUUCAGUUUGGCAGUUAUAGCACGGAGGCGACCUAUCCAUUAUAACCGCAUUUUAUCAGCAUUGCUUGAUUUUGAUCCAAACUUUGAGAUGACAAAGGGUGGACAUACUGCCAGCAUUCAGUAUUCUCUGAGAACUGCCUUUCUAGGAUUCCUGAGGUGUACACAUCCUUCCAUUUUGGAGGUAUACUUGACAUGUCAUAUUAGAGCUUCAUAGUUCUUUAUCUAUGGAUUUCUCCGUCUUCCAAUUUCUGUCUCUUUUCAGGGUGUUCACUGCUGCAACUUCCUUUCUAACUAUUUUUUUUGGUUAAUCAAACAGAGAUGUUUCUUGCUCAUUGAUUGAGAGAAUGAGCUGUAGUUCUGUUAUAGGGUAUUGUACAAUCCCCUCACAUCAUGUACUGGCUUUUGAGGUUUAGUAGGUUCAAGGUCCAUUUUCUUAUCCUGGUAUUAGAGGUAGACCUAUACCUAUUCUUUGGUUAUCCAGUGUUGUGCCCCCUUUUAUGUUAUCCACUCUCCAAAUAGUCCAAAAUUGGAUACGCGGAGAGUGUUAGAAUAUCCCCAAAUUGGUUGGGGGAAUGUGUUGUAGUCUUCUUAUACAUUCUUGCGUGAUACUUACCUCGUGAGAUAGGUUUUAGGGUUGAAUUAUGGCCAAAGUCCAUUUUUGUAACAAGAAUCCUUUUUGUUCUUUUAAGGGGUAAAGUCAAUAAAUAUAUCACUGAUAGGCCAUCAAGAGGAUGCACAGAGUACAAAAAGGAAAUUUGCUCUCUUAUAAAUUCAAGGAAUGGACAAUUUUUUUUUUCCAUAAAUAUGAUGUUCAUGAGUUGCCUUCUCUAUAUGGUAUGAUUUUUGGUUUUGACUUUUGAGUAUCUUACAAUUUGAAACAAUUUAGGAAGUUCCUCCUUUAUCAACUUAACAAAACAAUUUAGGACAUUCCUCCACCAACAAAGUUACUAUGGGUUGUGGAUGUUUAGAAAUGGGAAAUGGGGGAAAUGGAGUCUUUUUCGUUAAGUCCUGUUAUGGGAAGCUUUUGGUGAGAGAGGAGAUUGUUUUCCCACAUACCUCGAUAUGGAUCCCUAGAGUACCAAGUAAGGUGUGCUUCUUCACAUGGUUAGCCACGGGGGUGGGGUGAUCUUGACAACGGAGAACUUGAGGAAGAGAGAGAUCAAUUGUGUUAGUGCUUCAUGUGCAAAGGAUCAGGGGAAGAUGUAGAUCACCUACUCUUACAUUGCCGGGUAGCAUCUUCGUUAUGUGGGGAGCUGAUGAAAUGGUUUGGUUUUGAGUGGGUAAUGCCGAGAACUGUGAAAGAGACAAUGUUUAGCUGGGUUUGUAGACCUUUGCACUGAUGUGGACCAUAUGGAGAGGGAGGAAUAAGAGAGCUUUUGAUGUGAUAGAGAAAGAUUUUGUUCACUGAAAUAGCCUCUUUCCCUAAUUUCUUUUUGGUGCACCCAUGAAGUUCCUUUUAUAGAUGAUUGGGGUGGCUUUCGUAGAAAAUCAUGUAUUUUUUGUAAGAUUUUCUACUUUUUGCGUUUGGUAUACAUUUUGCAUACAAGCUAGUUAAUGCUCUUGUUAAUAAUAUUCUUACUGUUAAAUUAGGUCUUGAGCCUAACUCACACCCCAAAAGCUAACUCGAAGGGAGGAGGAUUGCCCAAGCUUUAUAAGGAGUCCACCCAUCUCAUUAACCACCAUUGUGGGACUUUUUGCUUUAACACCCCACCUCACACCCCAGUGCUUAGCAUCUGGUGCGAGGGCAAUUUUUGACCCACCUCACCCCCAAUGCUUGGCAUCUGGAGUGGGCAUUUUUUGAUAUUUUGGGCCCCAACAUCGGGUGAGAUGGACCCUGCUCUGAUACCAUGUUGAAGCGUAUGACCAUCUCAUCUAAAAGCUUAAGCUGUUAGAGAGUGCACACUUUUAUUAUUUAAUUAUAUUCUCAACACGCUCCCUCAUGUGCGGGGUUAAUUUUUUUUUUCACGGGCCAAGCACGUGGAAAUUCUUUUUGAUUUGGGUGGCGGUGAGAUUCGAUCUCAGGUCCUUUGCCUACUCUAAUACCAUAUUAAAUUAGGUCUUGAGCCUAACUCACACCCCAAAAGCUAACUCGAAGGGAGGAGGAUUGCCCAAGCUUUAUAAGGAGUCCACCCAUCUCAUUAACCACCAUUGUGGGACUUUUUGCUUUAACACUUCCUAAAUCUAAAAAAAUGUGUAUAUAUAUACACACACUCAUUAAUGUUGUCUUUCACUUAUAUUCUAUUUAGUAUGGUGAUGAUAUUAUAUGGGCUCAAAUGCACAAAUGAGGAUUUCCAAUGUGUUUGGGACUGAGGCGUGUUGUCAUUGUUGUUGAUGACUACUCUUGCAUAUGCUAAUUCUUAAUUCUUGUAAUAGAUGACUUUAAACCAAAAGGUACUUUGUUUUCCUUAAACUUCAGCUGGCAGUGGUUAUCUCACUUUCUUAUACUCGGAAAGAGCCAUAUUUAGUUGAAGCUCAAAGAAGCAAUAUGAGGACUACAUUAAAACAUGGUCUGAUUUUCUGUUAAGUGUAAUGCAAGUUCAAGUUGUAUAGAUUCAAAAGAUCUCUGUGUUCUAUACCGUAUGAGAAGUGCAAUCAAUAUCUUUCAACUCAACGACUCUAGAGAUUUGCUUAUGAUUAUCUUUAUUAUAAAUUGAAUAACUAGUUGUGUUUAUUUUUGAUUCAGUCAAGAGAAAGAUUGAUGAAAUCGUUGCGAGCAAUGAAUGCUGGUGAUGCUGCUGAUCAAGUUCUUCGGCAACUCGAUAAAAUGAUCAGAAACAAUGAGCGAGCUUCACGUGAUUCUAAAUUGAAUAAAGUAAUUCUCUCAGUAAUAGAGUUUCUUUUAUUUGUUAUUGAAGACCAAAGUGUCAGGACUUCAAGCUGUGAAAUAUAUAGUUUCAGAAGCUGUUCUCAGAACUUUCUACUUUCUUUUUCAGGAUGAGCAGUUAUCAAAUCACUUGCCCAUUUCAGGUGAUCCAACCAAGAAGAGGUCGACUCCGUUAGAUAAUGAAGAUCCAUCUAAUAACUAUGAUCUAAUUACAAAAAGGGUUCAUUAUGGCCCAAAUAAUCACAAUCACACAGCUCCAGUUGAGAGAAAUGAUUCUGGGAAAGAAUAUGUCAACGGGGUGGACCCAACGGUUGCACAAAUAAUUAACAUGAUUGGUGCUCUUCUAGCAGAAGGAGAAAGGGGUGCCAAGUCUCUUGAUAUCCUAAUAUCUGAGCUUCCUCCUGAUGUAUUGGCUGAUAUAGUCAUAACUAAUAUGAAGCACUUGCCUAAAAACAAUUCCCCUCCUUUUGCACCGGUUGGAAUCUUUUCGUUAGCUCGGACAAGUGAUUCUACUAAUCUAUCCCAAAUUAUGGCACCAAUUGAUUCCUCAUUAGGCCAACAGUCUUGCGUUCCUGGAUCCCAGACACCCAUCUCUUUAUCAACUGCCACAAGCAGUUCAUUUCCAGAAAUGCCUACUUCUGCAAGUCUCCCUUUAGAUUCAAAACGUGAUCCCAGAAGGGUGAGCAAAACUAAAUUAUUUUAUGUUUAUUCUCUUCUGUUUGUACUUUAUGUUUCUCUCACUAGUGACAGUCCAAUAAUAAACUGUUUUCUACAUCAUGAUGCUUCACAGGAUCCACGGCGCCUUGACCCAAGGCGUACAGCUGUGGCUAUUGAAGUAUCACCACCGUUUGUUGCAGAACAUAAUACAAGUGCUAUGCAAUCUGCAAUUCUGCAAUCUGACAUAAAUCCUUCCAGUUCAUCUAAUAUUGAUAUUGCAGUAUCCUUGAUGUCAAGUUCUGAAUGUAUGCCAAUGGCUUAUCUGAAGAUGGAAACUAACUCUAUCACUGGUGAAAGUUCACCAGGACCAGUAGUCAGUCUGUCAGCUCCCAAAGAGGAAGGUCAUGAGGAAGACCUGAGUGAAGCUAUUCCUGAUCGCAAGUCGGAUCCCACAACACAUGUUCCACUAUUAUCUCCUGGCAAAGUAGAACCGGAAUUGGUGCCAGAAAUUCCAUCUGAAGUUGGAGUAACUAUUGAAAUUUACUCUCCUUUGUUAGAAACAGAUCAACUUUCUCCCCCUAUUUCAACUCCUGCAACUCCUGAAGAUGCAUGUGAGGACUUGCCUGCACUUCCACCAUUCAUUGAGCUGACUUAUGAGCAGCAAAGAAAUAUGGGAACACUGGCUGUUGAACAGAUAAUUGACUCAUACAAAAAAUUAAAAGAGACGGACAGUAAGCAUACAGGAAUGGCAUUACUUUCUCGGUUGGUUGCCCAGGUGGGUCAAACUUGUUGAUUUUUAACUACUAGUUUUUGGUUUUAUCAUGGGGCUACUUUGUUAUCUUAAGUUACCAGAUGUUGGUUCAUGAACAAUUUAGAACUAAGAGAUAAUCUACCCGUUCUGUCUCGAUUGGUGUAAAUAAUAUUCUUCUUUGAGGGGCAGCAAACUAUGCUUGAAUAAAGUGGUUUGCCACUUCGCCUCCCUUGUAGACUUCCUCUCUGAGACUCUCAUUUGUGUCAUACCUCUGUUGGUAUACCACUUCAUCAUUCUAGCUCUCUCUCCUUGAAACAUUACUUGUUUCUUCCAGUAUGAUAUAAUAAUCAUGCUUUGGAAGACAUUUGAGUUGUUUCUAAGAAAUCUUUAUAACUUGGGUAGGUUGGUCCUUCCCUUUCUAGUUUGGUGUUGAAAGUCACUUUUGAAGGAGACCUACUUGUGGUCCAAUUCAUCUUUCAGAUAUUUCUAGAGUUUCAGCAACUCUUAGUGACUUUUCUCGCACGCCAAGUCAGAGAUGACAAACAAAUUAUACUAAUUCUAGUGUUGUCCUUGUAGAAUUAUGAUUAUAUAUUGAUGUAGAUAACAGACACACAGUCAGACUUAUCCCACCAAAAAUAUCUGUCAUUGUGAAAAGUAAUUUAGGUAGAGAUGCGACUUAGAUCUAUUUAUGAAGUCAAAGUUAAUACAAAUUUUUGGUUCAGUGUAGGAAUUAAGCUGAUGCAUGGUUUGAGUAGUGUUGGGAUAUUAACUUGACCAAUGCAGAAAUUUGAGAAAUACUUCCUUUGCCUCUUGACGGAAUAAGUCUCUUAUGUAAUUCUCUGGAUGACCUUCCUAAAGUCAAGUUUGAAUUGACCAUGACUGCCUGAGUUGCUUCAUGUAGCUGCUAAUAGGUUCUGCAGUCAUGCCAAAUUUCCUUCUGGGAUGAUCUGCAAUCAUUGAGUUUUUGGAGUAACAUCUUGACAGUAAUGGAUGCAGAUUAGUCCAAAAGAGAAAGAUGUUAUUCUCUUUCGGAUAUAGUAGGUGAAGUGAGGAAUCCUAGCAAAGAAUGUUAAGACAUUAUUUAUGAUGAAAAGGAGGGAUGCUGAUGGAGGUACUAAUGAAAUAAUGAGCUUCCCUAGGACAUAAGCCAGAAAGAUAUUAGGUGAACUCAUCAUGUUGAUCAAGCAAUCUGGUAUUGCUAACCAUAUUUGUAUAACUAGAAGUGUGAAUACUGAUGUCUCCUUUGUUGAUCUUAUGUGUUUAAUUCUGUUUAUAAGCUGAUAUAUAAUGAAUAGGUCAAAUUAUUUAAGUUCCUUUGCAAGUUUUGUUUACUUUACUCGAUCUCAUAGUUUGGUUAUCUAAUUCUUCAAUUUUAUUACUACUGUUGUUUCUUUUACUUUGGCCAUCUUUACCCGACGACCUUACCCCCACCCUCCCUAGACCCCACUUGUGGGAUCAUAUGGGGUAUUUUGUUCUCAUAUUUUGGCAAAAUUAGUCCGAGCAUGUGAAUGGGAUAGUUCAGUAUUUAUUUACCUAUGGCUUUGUUUGACCCUGCAGAUUGGUGCUGAUGCUGAUGCUCAUGUAGUUCUGAUGAUCCAAAAGCAUAUUUUCUCAGGCAACCAACAUGAGAAGGUAUCUACUUUCUCUCUUACACUCAGAGUAUCUUAUGCUAGUGUCAUUGUUCAAGUUGUGUAGUCAAUCAACUAUGAUUACUUUCUCCUUUUGUGUUGGGAAGCUUGUUUUUAUUAGGUGAAGUGUUUUAGAAUUUUUAUUUCAGUUAAGUGAAGUGUAUAUUCUGCCAGUUUGUAUGGCUUAAAUGCUGCCAUCCAAAAUCUUCUUGGAGUGAGUCUCUCCAAAUCGUCAUGUUGUUGCUGCAUAUAGAAUUAAGACAAAGAUAAAGAGCUCACCAAUUUUUCAUCUUUCUAAUGAAAGUCAGUUCAUUGUAACAUCUGUGGUUGCUCAAACCUUUGAUCGCUCAAUUACUUGUUACAACCACACUAUUUGCAGUAUUUAUACACUGCAACAAAUCACAAAAGCAGACCCAGCUUUGAUCUUCCCCUGCUUCUUGUUGUCUUGAUCCCCCUUUAUUGUUCUGUUUCUUAGCUUGGGUAAUCUUCUAAAUGUUUUGUACUUGGAUAUCCAAAGGGGUGUAAUCUGAUACAGUUUAUUAACCACAACCCUUUUUAUGGCUUUUGUUCUGCUGUAUAUCUUCUACAAAUGAACUUUUAGUGGAAAUUGUGAUUGCAAGCUAACAAUGUUGAUUUGACCCUCAGGUACAUGAGCUUGCAAUGCAUGUGCUUUAUCAUUUGCAUUAUCUCAUGCUAUCGGGUUCGGCUGAAAACAUUUCAUCUGCUGCUGCUCUAUAUGAGAAAUUCCUCCUCAGUGCGGUAAAUAGAGUCAUUUAUUAUCCUUAUCUACAUCAUUCCCAAAGUUUCUUUAGUAAGUUCUUUGCUUGUAGGCAAAAUCAUUGCUGGAUUCUUUACCAGCAAACGACAAGUCAUUUAGUAGGCUCCUUGGUGAAGUUCCAUAUCUGCCUGAAUCUGUGAUGAGACUGAUAGUUGAUUUAUGCUCUGACAAUUAUCUUGGGAACGAUGGUCGUGAUGGUGACCGUGUUACUCAGGGCCUUGGUGCAGUUUGGAGUUUAAUUUUGGGGCGCCCUCCUAAUCGUCAAGCAUGCAUGGAUAUAGCUUUGAAGGUAUAUGACCAUCAAAUAUUCGGUGAUGAUGUUUUGCAUUCACUUUACGUAAUUGCAGGUAUUAGUUGCCUAAGGAGUGCUAAAGCAACACUUUUAGGAGUUGAUAGAGUUUUGGAAGAAAGAAUUAAUAAGCAGACAGUUUAAUUGAAGCAAAAGAACUACUUCAAAGUUACUUUGUUUAACGUGUUUGUGACCUUGAGUAAACUCUUGUAACUGGAGAAGUUCUGGAUCCAGUAUAAGUAUUGGAUUCUCUUUGUAUUUGAAGGAUUCAAACAAAAUUUUCAUUUCCGUGUGUAACCAGUUGUCAAACUUACCAACGCAAAUCAAUAGAUUUCUUUUAAUCAGUAGGGUCUCUGUAAUAUUUUUUUUUGGACACCAAGGUGUGUUUGAUCAUGAUGGUGGAGCAGCACAAAAAUAAGUAAUCACUAGCUAUAGAGAGAUGAUAAUGAUAUCAAGGGUUCGACUCCUAAAUGUGUUACAAGGAGAUGAUUGGGGCACAAAUGUAGGUGGAGAUAGGGUGGCUUUGCUACCACAGCUAGCCAGUAGGUUGGGUUGCCAAUGGAGGAUUAUUAGUGUCAUGAGAUGGCUGCAAUUUUCAUUUUGUUAUAAUGUUGUGCCGUAUAUAGUAUUUGGUUUAAUUAAUAUUAAUGUCUGUCUGUCGUAUAUCAUUUUGUAAAAUGUGGCUUUGUUUUUAUUUUGGAAGGUUAUUUGUCAAACUUUUCCUUGCAUUGAGUUUUUUGGUGGUGUUUCUACUUUUCAUGAAAAUGGAAUGAUCUUCUUCAGGAUUAAUAAUAAACCCUGUAGUAUUGAUUGGGCUUUUAGUAUCUAUUCUUGUAGGUUUUUUUUUUUUGUGUGUGUGGUGGUGGUGAGGCCUGUGUAUGGAGGGAAUUAGGAGGAUGAAGAGCUAAGGCCCUCAUGAGAUUUGACUUGCAGGGUGGAGUUGCAACUUUAAUCUCGGGUUUUAGUAUCUAUUUUGAUGUUUAUUUCUUUAGUGAUUGAGUGACAUUUUAUUGUAAUUGUUUUUUUUGUUUUUUCUGGAAAGCAUUUUCUUAUACUCAAUUUUGUACUGGACAAGAAAAGGAUCCCUGUGGCAGACACGUGUUCAAAAUUGUUUAUCUGUUGAGUUCCAUUAUACCAAAUAUACACAACUCUUGGACUGUCCUACAAUUCUGCAAAGCAAAAAACAAAAGUAAUGCUUGCCUUUGGCAGAAUGAAAUUAUAGUGCACUCAUUAAAGUUCAUGCUUUCAUGCAGUGUGCUAUUCACCCUCAGGACGAGGUCCGAGCAAAAGCUAUUCGCCUGGUAUGCAACUUGUGACUGUUUUGUGUUGCCGGCUGUGGGUUUUCACCUGCUGGUGACCAUUCUUUACGAUUCUUAUCUACGGAUUAUUAUAUCUGAAUCGCUAAAAUGUUGUAACUCUUGAUAGGUGUCAAACAAACUUUACGUGGUUGGUGACAUUUCAGAUAAUAUCGAGCAGUAUGCUAAGAAUAUGUUCUUGUCAGCUGUAGACCAGCAUGUCACAGAUGCAGAAUAUUCCCAGUCUGGAACUUUGGUUCAGAGAACAGGAGAGGUAUGUUCUUAUUUUUGCGUUUGCCAAUAAAUUCUCUCUGAUUUUGGCUUUGUCGGAUGUCUGUGCGAGUAUAUUUAUAACAAAAUAGGGUUUAUGAUCUUGGUUCCUCUUUUCUUUUUGUUCUGUCUGCAUUUGUUCCUUUAGUAUUUGGUCUUGAAGUUGUUGUUUGAGGACUGAUUGAUUUUAGAGGGUUCUGGUGGUUCCUUUAUGGAAAUUGUUUGUGGGUGGAGCCUCGUGUUCAUGUUUGAGUCUCUACUUUGGUUAUUUCAUGUCAGCUUGACCAGAUUGCAGUGACUUGGAACUUUUUUUUUAAUAAAUAAUAUUUAAAUAUGAGUUGGGAUGUGAUUCCCGUAAACAAAUUUGAUAAUUAAAUAGAUGUACUAGAAGAAGAGAAUUUUUGCAUUGUAGGAAUAUGUAAAGCUUGUCUGCUAGUUUGUGGUAAAAAAAUGAAGUUUCACUAGCGAAAUAUGAAAUAAGACGUGCAAUUUUGAAAAAGUGAAUAUUAUUUUUCAUGUUUCACCUUUAUCCUUGCACAACUAAGAUAUUUUCUUUUAUAGGUAAAAUACAAAUCAAAUCAUGUAGUUUUAACUGAGAAUCACUGGCUUUUGAGACAACUUAUAGCGUGUUUGGCCAAAUCAAAGUACUUCAUGUGAGAAUUUUCAAAGGAAGAUCAAACUCGAUUCAAAAGAUCAAAGGGAAAUGCAUUUCUACUUUAUGUUUUUGGUGUAAAGAGCAAUGUAUAGUAAAUGAAAUACAGAUAGUGGAUUUCCUAGGCUUAUUGUAAUUAGCUAUCUAUGUAAGCACACUUUUGGAGGUGGCCAGCGUACCCUUAAUACUGAAGAAUACAUGUUACCAAUGUUUUUUUUUUUUUUAAAAAAACUUCAUGUGAGAAGAAAUUUGUGUUUGGCCAAAAAUUUUUAAAAGCACUUUUGAACUGGUAUUAGUGUUUGGCCAAGCAUUUUCAAAGUGCUUAUAAGUGUAUUUUUCUCAAAAGUGCUUUUGGAGAAAAGCUACCUAAAUAGCUUCUAAAAAACAGUUUCAGCUACUCCCUAGAGCACUUAUUUUCUCCCAAAAACUUGGCCAAACACCUUACUUUUUAAAAAUAAGCACUUUUGGCCUCCCAAAAGCUUGGCCAAACAGGCUAUUAGUUUGCAAGUCUACUAAAUUCUGUGAUUCUAUUUCAAAAAAUUAUAUUCAAAGUAUUUAGACUAGUUAUUUUACCUGGAAGUAGCAGUAGUUGCUAAGGACUUAAAAACAUUAGAACUUCUUGUUUUCACUAUGAGGAGGAAUGUAUAUUCUAAAUUUUUUUCUGUUAAAAUGCAUGUUGUUCAAUAGUUAAUUCUUUUUCGGUACAAAGGAAAAGGUUUUCUUGAAAAAUUAGUGGUUUUCUUACUUAUUUUCUUGUGUUCGGUACGUAAGCAAAAAAUAUUACUUUUAAAAGCAUUUGUAUAUAAUCUAGGCAAAUAUUGUGGGUGUGGGGGUGGGGGUGGGAGUGAAGAUGAGGUGUGUUGGAGGGUGGAGGACUCUAUCAAUAUGGAAUUCCACUUGUGGAACUUGUUUUCCUUACUUCCAUUAGGGAAGUCAUUUUCCUCAUUGUUAAGGAACUCGUUUUCCUAGAGAAUAUGCUUUCUAAAAAUUUUGACCAACCGAACAUUAGAAAAUUGGAAAGCAUUUCCUCCAUACCGAAUACACCAUAACAAUUGCUCAAAAUGGUGUUGGGAAAGCAAUCUUCUUGUUCUUGUUUGAUUCAAGAACCCCAAAAUAUAUCCGUGGGCACAUCUGAGCUAAUAUUUUUAUUCAUUGAUGGGACAAAAAUUACGACCUGCUUAAAGGCUUUGUUGUUGAUAAUAAUCUUCUAUAGUGGAACUUGUUAUACAUGACUCUGUCCAGAGUCAAUUUUCAAAUCUUGGAUGUUUUAGAUGUGUAUCAAAUUCCUGAAAUGAUAAAUUAGCUUUUAUGUUGCUGCAUGACUUAGUAACUAGGUCAGUGAAGUCCAAUAUAUGGAUUGAAGAAAGAGGAUUUUCUAUUUAUGGACUCCAAUAAGUUGAGGAGCACUUGCCUUCUGAAAUUGUUUGCUUAAACUAUCCUUGCUGUACCGUUUCUCCUUCUAUGUUGAUAAAUUCCUCUUAACCUAAAAAAAUAUAAUUUUCCUUGAAUUUGAUUAUUAUCCUAAGAAAAGAAUAUGAUUAUCAGACAGGAAAUCAGGAAGCCUCAGUUAGUGGUUCUCAGAUUUCAGGGCCAGGAUUCUUUGAAAAUGAUUUUGUUAAGACUGCAGCAUCUGAUUCUCAAAGUGAUUCAGAGUUGUCUUUAGCUCAAGCUCAGCGGCUUAUCUCAUUAUUUUUUGCUCUAUGCACUAAGGUUUGGACAAGUUUAUAAGUGCAAGGAUAUAUGUUGAAUGUGCACUUACGAUGAUGCUGACCGGGUAGCUUUUCCUGCAGAAAUUCAGUCUUCUCCACCUUGUAUUUGAUACCUAUGCACGUGCUCCUAAGGCAGUUAAGCAGGUCUGUUUUUUUAUUGUGCUCCUGUCUUACAAUCCUAAUAGCCGACUUAAUAAUGGUUUGUUUGAGAUGAAUUAAUCAUUCACCCCGAUAGAACCAUGAAUAGGCCAGCAAUAAUUUGACUGUCAUUUUAUCAAAAUAAUCUGGAUUAGUUAGGCCUCAGAAACCUAAAAAAAGAAGUAAAACUAGCAUUUUGAUGAUCUACUCCCAAUUUGAUUUUUCCAAGAUGAGCUUUAAUGAGGAUCUACAUUGGUCUUCUGGAGCACUAUUAACAAUCUCUAUUAACUUGUACUGAACUUCUUGUAUUGCUCUUGUUGUUGUACUCAUUUCAGUUGGUUGACAUUCCUUCUAUUAACUUUUGAUCUGGUACAGGCUGUUCACCGUCAUAUGCCUGUUCUUAUUAGGGCUAUAGGCUCUUCAUGUUCUGAACUGCUUCAUAUAAUAUCUGAUCCACCUCAAGGCUGUGAAAAUCUUUUGACACAGGUAGGUUACUACACCUCGCAUUUUAAUUAUUGCUUUUCAUCUUGAACUCUCUUCCUUAUCAUGAUGCCAUUGUUUUGUUCACUGCAAGGUGCUUCAUAUUCUCUCCGAAGGGACAACUCCUCCGCCUGACUUAGUUGCAGUUGUCAAGCGGUUAUAUGAAACUAAACUGAAGGUUUAGCAUCUUUCUUUUUGUUUUCUUGAUAGCUCUCUCAAUCAGAAACUUCGCAGUUCCACCAGUGAUACCCUAAAUUGUUUUGUAGGAUGCAACUAUUCUUAUUCCAGUGCUCUCUUCAUAUUCUAAGAGUGAGGUAUUCUUCAGAUUAUUGUGCAUUUUUAUUCUACACGCAUUUUCAGUUUUCUUUUCUGUGACUAAUAAUGAUAUGUGAUAUCUCCCUCACUAACCCUGAAUGACAUAUCUGUUCCUUUUGUUCUCUGUUUGUUAUCCUUUUAACUUAACUAUAAUAUAUCACACUAUGUCCAUUUUAAUUUGCUGGCUCAAAGGGAGUUCCUGUUAUGUCCAGGGUUUUCCUGAUAAAGAUUGUGUCUGGUUAACUUGGCACACUUUUGGGCUUUUGUUCAGGUCUUGGUUAUGAAUUAUCCUUUCUUAAAUAAAUAUUCCUAGUUUUGUGAGCAAAUCUAUAUUUUUUCUUAAAAAACUAUCUUCAAUUUAACUAUAUAAAACGUACUAGUCCGUUUCAAUUUGUUUGUCUUACUUUACUUUUCAAUCCGUUUUAAAGAGAAUGCCUCCGUCCUUUCUUGACAACUCUUGAAUUCAACUUUCUUGAGAAUAUCUUUAGUUUAAAAGCUCACAAGAUUCAGAAGUUCUCUUACUUAAACUCCUUGCCAAGUCCAAACCAGACAAACAAAUUGAAACGGAGGGAGUAGUUAGCAGAGGUCUCUGGUGUUUCCUUGCGUAAAAGGACUACUUUUGCAUUAGCUCUCUCUCGUUGGGCAAUUACUAAGGUGAAAGCCGCUCUCUCGGAAGUCAGUUCCCUCGCCAUAUAGUGGGGCUAGUCCAAAAAACUCGCUUGAACUGCCAAGACUUGUUUUUUUUUUGGUGGGAAGGCCCUUCUAGAAUUACGUUUAACGUCCCUUUAUAACUUCCCUGAUUUGUGGCUCGGGUUGAUUCCAAACUGCACUCAAAGGUAGGACAUUUCCCCCAGGGACAAUCACAUCUCCAAUUAUAUAGAAUUUCACUUCUUUAUUCCAUAUUUCUUUUCUUACUGAUUGAAUUCAGUUAGAUAGAGGAAUAUUCGAUCAAAUCCUUAGUCCGAUAGGUGGAUAGUAUACAUUCAAUACGGACAAUACAUUGAGAUGAAAGACGGAAGAAUUGAAAUCUUAUGUCAAAAAACUAUGUGCAGAUGGUAUGAACUUGCCUAAACAAGAAUUCUUUUUUUUUUUUUUUUUUUUGAUGAAGUAAAGGAUUUCAUUAAAGAGCAUCAGGGUCAUCCUAAACAAGAAUUCUUUUUUUUUUUUUUUUUUGAUGAAGUAAAAGAUUUCAUUAAAGAGCAUCAGGGUCAUCCUAAACAAGAAUUCUUUUUUUUUUUUUUUUUUUGAUGAAGUAAAGGAUUUCAUUAAAGAGCAUCAGGGUCAUCCUAAACAAGAAUUCUUGAACAACACAAAUCAUCUUUUUCUUUAUUGAAUGAUUGGCUCAAUAGCUUUCCUCCUGAUGUGAUAGUGAAAUACUUGAUAUCUUUUCCUUUCAACUACUGCACUUUAUUCGGAAAGACUAACUUUUUAUGAGUCUUUUUGUUUUUGUAUUAGGUUCUACCUAUUUUCCCAAGUCUUGUUGCUCUCCCACUGGAUAAGUUUCAGCUUGCCCUGGCUCGGAUAUUACAGGUUUGAUUGGAUUUUACAUUCAAUAGAUGUUUUACCUCUCCGUAAUUUUUAGGUACCUUCUGAUUUCUGUGAUAAUGACUGUUAUGUUCAUUCCAUUUAACCAUGUUAGUCUUCUCAUCUUCAUUGCCGUGUUCAACUCUUUCUUCUGAAUAUCAUGCUCAUUCAAAUUAUAUUAUGUUUUGAGUUUUUCUUUAUUUUUCUUAGGUCAGUGAUUUUGUGGUUCUUUAAUCAAAGUCCACUAGUAACUUUAUUGUUUAAUAAUCAGUUGACAAAAAUUCAUCACCUGAUGCCCCACUGCUAGUAAAGAAUUCCAUAUUACUUGCUGUAAUCUGAUAAGCAUUGUACAUUUGUUUUGGAUAUAGACAAAAGAUAAAAGGUCCUUUACUUGAUUCAUGGCAGGGUUCCGCCCAUACUGGUCCAGCACUGACCCCAGCAGAAGUGCUGGUCGCAAUACAUGAUAUAAAUCCCGACAGGGAUGGCCUUCCGCUAAAAAAGGUAUGCGAUCUUCCACUUCCACUAGUCGUUGGCUUGAUGGUUGUUGCAUGUGAACUUAUUUCAGCAUGCAGAAAAUUCAUUGUUAUCUUGCCCUCAGGUUCUUUGCCAUGUAUUUCCUCAAUUGCAUGAUUCCCUUGUUUCCUGUUGAAUUCUGUUUCUUCUCCCUGUUCCUUACUACAGAUUCAGGACAUAGUGAAAAUGCCUUGGCAGAAUUACAUACCGAUUUGGUGACACUUUAAUGCUAUUAUCUUUCAGAUAACAGAUGCUUGCUCAGCUUGUUUCGAGCAGCGGACUGUUUUCACGCAACAGGUCCUGGCGAAAGCCUUGAGACAGAUGGUAUGGAACAAAUGCAUAUAGUAGAUAGAGAUGGUAUGGAUAAUUUUCUGAUCUCUGCUAUCCUCAUUUAAUCAGGUUGAUCAGACUCCUCUCCCGCUGCUCUUCAUGAGGACAGUGAUUCAGGCCAUUGACGCUUUUCCUUCUCUGGUAAAUCACUGCUCCUGUUGUUAUAUUGUAGUAUAUUAAUCAGUUGGGUGUACGUAACUAUGUUCCAGCCUUUUUACACUGUUGAGAAUACAAUUAACUAAUAAAAGUGUGCUCUCUCUAUCAGUUGGGUGCACGUAACUAAUAAAAGUGUGCUCUCUCUAACAACUUAAGCUUUUAGAUUAGAUGGUCACACACUUCAACAUGGUAUCGGAACAAGUAGAGGUCCUGGGAUCGAAUCUCAGAGCCACCCAUAUCAAAAAGAACUUCCAUGUGCUUGGCCCAUAAAAAAAUCAGGCCCGCAUGUGAGGGAGCGUGUUGAGAACAGUGGCGGAUCUAGGAUUUUCAUUCAGGGGGUUCGAAAAAUAAUAAUAUAAACGUGUGAAUAAGCCAACAAAAUACAAUUCCAAGGAAGUACUAGUAUAUAGUUUAUAAGUACAAAAAGUUAGUUCCAUUAGCUUAGACCUUUUAGCACGUUUGGACUUCUUUGGGUUUAAAUCUACUCUUUUUAAAAAAGAAAAACAAAAAACAUCAAAGAUUGGUUCUGAAACUAAAUGAAGAGAAGGUUAAAAAAUAAAAUGACCACAAUGGGAUUCGAACCUUGGACGUGAGGGCCAAUCUAAAAGGAAAUCUACCUCGAUGAAUGCAUAGAUCCUUUAAUAUCAGUGGAAGCUCUUGAUACCACCACUGGUUUUUAAAAGACGAUGCAACCUAAAGGGCUGAAGUAUUGAUUGGAAGUCUCUCAGCAAUUUUAUUAAGCAUAAGAGGUCUUUAAAUAGUCAGCUUAAAACAAAAAACUUGCAUACUUUGAAAUUCAAAAAAACUAAAAUACCUCAACAAAUUAAUCAAAACCUGAUAGAAAUUUAAAGUUCAAAUUAUUCUAAAACUACCAAUUUAUUAUGCUAAAAAUUAUUGUAGUAACUAAAACAAAUUUCAACAAUUAGAAUAUGUGAGUUUAUGGGUGUGACUUAACGUCUCAGGCUUCAUCUUUUUUAUGUUUGUUCAAUGUGGAACAACAACAUGGACAACACUGUACUAGCUAUCUAACACCCACCCCUCAAGCAUAUACAUCGGAUGUGUCGAGCAUGGUACAUAUGCAGGUAGUUGAGGACUUGUGAUAAAUUUGGUUAAUAGGUAUACAAGUUGACCAUUGAACUUUACAGAUCAUGUUACAAUAUUUUCGGAGAAUAUUUUCUCUGACAAAGUGAUCGUGAAUCUCUGUGUUCGGUCUUCUCUCGGAACACUGGAAUUGAAGCAAUAUGCUGCGUAGUUUGAUUAUUACAAACAAGUUCCAUCAGAGUGAUUCUUCAAAUUUCAAUUCUUUCCAGUCAUUUGAUCCAGAUGAGUUCACAUGUAGCAACUACCAUGAUUCGAUAUUCAGCUUCUACAUAGGUCUUGCACCACAAUUGGUUCUUAUUCAUUCAGGAGAUCAAUUGCCUCCAAUGUAAGGAUGGCAAAAGGGGCGGGGCAGGACGGGGCAGUUGCGGGGUAAACCCGCAUAAACCCGUGAACACUCCAACCCUCCCCUCCCCACCCUGCCCCUCCCCACACGACAAAAUAUAUAUUUUCAACCCACCCCGCCCUGUAUAAAUCCACCCCACAUAAUUAUUUUUCAUCAUCACGAUGUAGUAUUACAUUGCGAUUUUUUUCUCUUUUUUAUUUAGUCAUUUAUCUUUCGUUUUUGCUUGUCAAAUUCUCUGAUCAGUUUACUGCUUUAACAUUUAUCAUAAGUAUAUUUAUAUGACUUCUAUAAGUCAAAGGGUACUUAUAUUAUGAACCUAGAAAAACAUUCAUUCCUCUUCUCUGUAACAGCUUAACAGGAAGAAACAAGGAACUAAAAAAUAUCAAGUAUUUUGAAUUUUUCUUCUUGUCUUUUAUAAAGAAUAACAAUUGGGAAGAGAGGAACCCCUCCCGCCCCACUCCACCCCGUAUAAUGCAAAACCCGCCCCGCCCCAUUGCCAUCCCUACACCAAUGAGAACACAAUGUCCAGAGAUAGAGUGUCUAUCAGGAGAUUACCAUGCUAAAUUAGCAUCUGAAUACCUGACAAUCCUGUCCUUGAUACUCAUACAAUAACCCUUUACUUAGUGAAUCUUAUAUACUGAAAGAUACAUGCUAUUGCAUCCCAAUGAGCUUCACAUGGAGAACCUAGAAACUGAGUGACAAAACUCAUUGAAAAGGUGAUAUCAGGUAAGCUACAGUGAGAUAAUAUAACUUACCUACUAAUCUCCUGUAUCUCCCAGGGUCACUGAGCAGCUCCUUUAAAUCAGGUAGAAGUUUGAGACUUGUUUCUAUAGGGGUAGCAAUGGAUCUACAAUUUGUCAUCAUCACGUCAAGUAUUUUGCAUGCCUUGAACUACUUUAAUACAUUGGAAAUAUAGUGAUUUGCCUUGAAUCCUUAGUAUAAAAUGCUGAAAGAGAUCAUUUCAAGCUAUCAAUGCCCUCUUGGUUAGUGCCGACAAUAACUAAAAUCAAUGUAUACUACCAAAUAAAUACAAAGAUAUAAAGUUGAGUAUUGAUGUGCAGAGGGAUCAGCUUCGCUAAUGAAUGAUCCCCAUUUAUUCUAUUUCUGCACUUUUUCUAAACCAUACUCAAGGAGAAUGUUUUAAAUCAUUUAGAGCUGUGCAACUGUAAUAAAGUUUACGAGAUUCCCCGAGCAUCAAAACCCAACAAUUUCUCUAACUCUUCCUCAAGAUCAACAUGAAGAAAAACAUUCUUGGGAAAUUCUCAUGUCCAUUUCUUGAUGGGUGAAGAUAUUAUCUAUUAGAUUAAAUUCUCCGGCUUAUACCCUAUGGACAGGAGAAACCACUAAUCAUGAGAAUGCUUCCUGGUAGGAGAACAGUAAAGGCAGAAAGGGUGAGAGGAGCUUCUCAUCUGGCAGCAGAAAUAUCAACAUUUAUGGCACUCGAUCUGCUUUUUGUUUAGUGAUGAAGAUUAUGUUGCCACCUUAAAAGAAACUGAAUAAUAUGCGUAACUUCUCUUUUGUGUGCCUUAUAUUCCUUUUUGCUUCUUGGAAAUGUUUUGCUUUCUUCACAAGUGCAUGUUCAAAUUGGCUACUUCUCUUCUCUAUUUUCUCCUGUUCAAUAUACAUAUAAACACAUAUAAAGUUGACACAUCUUAGCAUCUUGAUUUAUUUUUGGAUAAAGUUAUUCUUCCAUGUCUCUUAGUUUGCAUUCCUUUGGCCUACCAUAUUAAGCACAAAGGGGAAAUGUUGAAGACAUAAGCGAAUAAAAACUGCUUCUUGAAUAACUCAAGCUCAUUUUUGGACCUUGGAAACAAAUCUGGAAAUCCAACACCCCAACCAAGAUAAAGUGUUUCACAUGGUCAGUGUGCAGAAGAGCAUGUCUGACUCAGGAGAGACUGAAAAAAAGAGGAUUUCAGAUUGUUUCUAGGUGCUUCUUUUGCCAUGAGAAGGAGGAAACAAACAAUCAUUUGUUCCUUCACUGUAGAGUGACUUCCCAGAUAUGGUAUAUGUUUCAAAGCAUUAUUCACGAUCCUUGGGUGGUGCCUGGGCAUACUGCUGACCUACUAAACUGUUGGAUGAGAAGAGGGGGGAGUAAAACACAGAAAAAAUGGUGGAAUCUAGUUCCAUCUUGCAUAUGGUGGUCAAUUUGGAAGGAAAGUAGGUGCUUUAAGAAUAUUACUAACCCAAUGCAGAAAGUGAAAGAAAACUGCAUUAAUACUCUAUAUUUUUGGUGUAAAGUAGAGGGUAUAUAUGAAGUAGAUCAGUUAGUAGAUUUCCUAGGCUCUUUGUAAUCAUGACUGCUUUGCCUUGGAAUUUUUUGUUGGUUGCCAGCAUACCCUCAUUGCUGAUGAAUACAACUUUACCAUUCUCAAAAAAUAAAUAAAAAAUAACUCAAGCUCUUAGACUAGAUGGUCACACAGGUAAACACCGUAUAUUGGUCUUGGAUUUUGAAAACUAUAUAAUCCAAGAUAUGUAAUCCGUCUUGUCUCUUUCCUUCUUUCCAUUUGAUUGUUGGAGGAUUGGAUUCCUGGAUGUUUAUGAACUAGCUCUGAUACAGUACUGCUGGAGCAUUUCAUCUACAUGUUGAUGCAGCUGGGCAGAACUAGAAUUUUAAAGUCAACAACAGUAUGAGUAUUGUGCUCAUCUAUUAGCAUGGACAUUGCUUGGACAGAGCUUCUUACUGAGCAUAUAUUUGUUUGAUGUGGAAGGAAUGUAGUCAAUGUGUGUGACACUAUCUUUUUUUUUUUUAUGUUUAGGUUGAUUUUGUGAUGGAGAUACUCUCCAAACUUGUGGUUAGACAGGUAUUUAAGCUUAGAUUUCCCCCUAAUCACGGACUAUCAUUAUUGCUCUACAAAUGAAUUGUCAUCCUAUCGCAUAUUGGAUGCAGGUAUGGAGGAUGCCAAAAUUGUGGGUGGGAUUCCUAAAAUGUGUCUCACAAACGCAACCACAUUCCUUUCCUGUACUACUACAGGUAUUGUUUGGUAAUUUAUAAUUUUUACUAUAUAUUGUGCAUGGAGGCAACUUUAUCCAUAUUUUGUCUUAAAAUGUGUUUGAUCUUGUUUGCAGUUGCCACCACCGCAGCUUGAGAGUGCUCUAAACAAAUAUGUUAAUCUCCGAAGUCCAUUGGUUACCUUUGCUAAUCAGCCAAAUAUUAAAACUUCACUCCCUAGGUAUAUUUUGUAUCUGAUCAACCGUUUAGUAAUGUCCCAUCUUUUUCUGCAUUAUGUCAACUGGAUUUAUCUUAAGUUCUUCAUGGCACAUGCUGCAUCUAUUUUUUGAGACAUUAUUCUAUAUUUUAUGUUAAAUAUACCAAUGUAGAAAAUCAGAUUGCGUCUUUAUGUGAACCUAAAAUAAGAGCUAAUUGCAUAAGUUGUCACCGAUCUGUCACACCCACGGUCUAUUAUGCUCAAAAAGUUUCUUCAUGAUUUACUUAUCCAAAAAAAAAAGACCUUCCUCAUGCUUAUUACAAAUUAACUAGUCUUUGUGGUCACUGGAGCUGUUUGGCAUUGAUGCAGAUCAACCUUGGUACAACUUGGUCUUUUUAAUGAACCGAGUUUGCAGCAAUCACAUCUCUCAUCUACUGUGCAUGCCUCAGAGACAGGUGCUUCUGUUCAUGGAGCAACUCUAACAUGAUAGUGCACUUUCUUAAAGGAAUGAAGCAGUGUAGUAAUACACGGUGUAGGCACCAGGGCUACUGCAGCUCCUUAUUGCAACAAUGUGCUAUGAUUCUCCAGAGUCGGUAAAUUGUGGCUAGUUUCUGCGCCCCUUAGAAGUUGGGCUCAAUCUGCUGGUAACAAGAUGGCUCAUGGGAUGGCAGUGCCCAAAAGUUUUGAGGAGAAAUCUCCCUUUGGAGAAUGUAUCAUAAGACGUCAAUUUCCCUCACGGUUUCUUACCAGCUAUAUGUUUGUCAUUCAUUAUAUUUGUUUAAUUUGUCUGCCUACAGGCAUCAGUUGAGGUGUCUAGGCAACCAAUUGGUGCUGUGGGGAGUAGCAUAGCUGGUAGGUCAGGUUAUUUAAAACCUUUUGUAUGAGAGGGAGGCGAGCUGGAAGUGUGUAAUUGUACUAUAGUUUUAUAGCCCCACCCCACUUCCCCCUACCCCUCCCACCACUUACCUCACAUGUGGUCAGAGUAAAUGGGUUCAAUUAGGGAUUACAGAGUAAAGGAAAAAAAAAAGAAAUUGCACUUUCUAGUUUCUUCCAAGAAGCUCUCAGAAGAAAACUUAUUAAAAAGAAAAAGAGAGUUUAUUUGUGAAUGGAUGGUAGAUUUGGAGCCUUAAUUAAUGGUAAAUUGGCCAAUGGUCUAGUGAUUUGGACUGUACACUUUAUUCCAUGGGUGGUUAUACUAGUGUCUGAAAUGUUACUGAAAAGUAGCAAGUUUUUACCCUUUAGUCGCUGAGACCUUUUUACCCUUAUUUGCAUCAUCUUCAAUGCUUUUCUCGAGUUGGCCACUAUUUUAGAGUUUUACUUGUAGGAAUUGAAACUCUAGGGAAGUUCUUGGAGUUCAAUUACUGCUACAUGGUGUCUUGGGUAGUAGCGACUUUUAGUUGAUUAAGUUUCUCAAUUUGAUUAUCUUAGUGGAUUUUCCAAGACCAAUGGCAUGAAACAUGAGACAUCAAUUUAAGUGCAAUGGUCCAGCU
This 23323-nucleotide long non-coding RNA is filed under the name Solanum tuberosum (potato). RNAcentral describes it as "long non-coding RNA (STUB_LNC005177)". Lineage: Eukaryota; Viridiplantae; Streptophyta; Magnoliopsida; Solanales; Solanaceae. The record is from RNAcentral.